This 73-nucleotide transfer RNA is filed under the name Desmophyllum pertusum. RNAcentral's name for it is "tRNA-Thr". The record is from RNAcentral. Lineage: Eukaryota; Metazoa; Cnidaria; Anthozoa; Scleractinia; Caryophylliidae.
GUCCGUUGCUCGGUGGCCGAGAGCGUCUGACCGGUGUAUGGAAAGUCAUGGGUUCGAUUCCCGUCGGGACUCA